This 918-nucleotide ribosomal RNA is filed under the name Psychrobacter sp. 808A7. RNAcentral describes it as "bacterial SSU rRNA". It matches the Rfam family "Bacterial small subunit ribosomal RNA", at positions 556 to 1468 of the family's 1533-position model. The record is from RNAcentral. Lineage: Bacteria; Pseudomonadati; Pseudomonadota; Gammaproteobacteria; Moraxellales; Moraxellaceae.
GGGCGUAAAGCGAGCGUAGGUGGCUUGAUAAGUCAGAUGUGAAAUUCCCCGGGGCUUAACCUGGGAACUGCAUCUGAAACUGUUAGGCUAGAGUAGGUGAGAGGGAAGUAGAAUUUCAGGUGUAGCGGUGAAAUGCGUAGAGAUCUGAAGGAAUACCGAUGGCGAAGGCAGCUUCCUGGCAUCAUACUGACACUGAGGCUCGAAAGCGUGGGUAGCAAACAGGAUUAGAUACCCUGGUAGUCCACGCCGUAAACGAUGUCUACUAGUCGUUGGGUCCCUUGAGGACUUAGUGACGCAGCUAACGCAAUAAGUAGACCGCCUGGGGAGUACGGCCGCAAGGUUAAAACUCAAAUGAAUUGACGGGGGCCCGCACAAGCGGUGGAGCAUGUGGUUUAAUUCGAUGCAACGCGAAGAACCUUACCUGGUCUUGACAUAUCUAGAAUCCUGCAGAGAUGCGGGAGUGCCUUCGGGAAUUAGAAUACAGGUGCUGCAUGGCUGUCGUCAGCUCGUGUCGUGAGAUGUUGGGUUAAGUCCCGCAACGAGCGCAACCCUUGUCCUUAGUUACCAGCGGGUUAAGCCGGGAACUCUAAGGAUACUGCCAGUGACAAACUGGAGGAAGGCGGGGACGACGUCAAGUCAUCAUGGCCCUUACGACCAGGGCUACACACGUGCUACAAUGGUAGGUACAGAGGGCAGCUACACAGCGAUGUGAUGCGAAUCUCAAAAAGCCUAUCGUAGUCCAGAUUGGAGUCUGCAACUCGACUCCAUGAAGUAGGAAUCGCUAGUAAUCGCGGAUCAGAAUGCCGCGGUGAAUACGUUCCCGGGCCUUGUACACACCGCCCGUCACACCAUGGGAGUUGAUUGCACCAGAAGUGGAUAGCUUAACCCGUAAGGGGGAGGCGUCCCCCGCGGGGUGGC